This 352-nucleotide ribosomal RNA is filed under the name uncultured bacterium. RNAcentral's name for it is "bacterial SSU rRNA". It matches the Rfam family "Bacterial small subunit ribosomal RNA", at positions 917 to 1269 of the family's 1533-position model. The record is from RNAcentral.
GGACCCGCACAAGCGGUGGAGCAUGUGGUUUAAUUCGAAGCAACGCGAAGAACCUUACCAGGUCUUGACAUCCUUUGACCACUCUAGAGAUAGAGCUUUCCCUUCGGGGACAAAGUGACGAGGUGGUGCAUGGUUGUCGUCAGCUCGUGUCGUGAGAUGUUGGUUAAGUCCUAUAACGAGCGCAACCCCUAUCGUUAGUUGCCAGCGGGUAAUGCCGGGAACUCUAGCGAAACUGCCGGUGCAAACCGAGAGGAAGGUGGGGAUGACGUCAAAUCAUCACGGCCCUUACGUCCUGGCUACACACGUGCUACAAUGGCCGGUACAGAGAGCAGCCACUACGCGAGUAGGAGCG